This 392-nucleotide unclassified non-coding RNA is filed under the name Hevea brasiliensis (rubber tree). The record is from RNAcentral. Lineage: Eukaryota; Viridiplantae; Streptophyta; Magnoliopsida; Malpighiales; Euphorbiaceae.
UUAUCGGCCAGACAUAGAUGGGACAAACAGAACCUUAAUUCACACAAAAAGCUGACAUGCUGGUUAAAGCUAAAAUGGAAACUAGAGGAGCUUCAAUAAAGAAAAGACUUCGUGGUUGUUAGCUCUGCGGUCAAAGAAACAGGUAAUCAAACCCACCUCUCUCUCUCUCUCUCUCUCUCUCUCUCUCUCAGCUGGUGACCAACUUCUGUCAUGGGCGAUUGGCAUGCAACUGGGCAGAAUGGUGGGCUGGGGUUGAGCGGGUCCUUGCUUACGCAUGGAGGAAACCCUGUGGGGACCUAAUGAUGAUGGGGCCAAGCCAAACACACAAACAUGAUUCAUCGACUCUGAUAACUUUUCAUAUUUAAUUUCUUUAUUCUGUUGUACUGCUUUUC